UACGUAGGGGGCAAGCGUUGUCCGGAUUUAUUGGGCGUAAAGAGCGUGUAGGCGGCCCGACAGGUCCGUUGUGAAAACUCGAGGCUCAACCUCGAGACGCCGAUGGAAACCGUUUGGCUAGAGUCCGGAAGAGGAGAGUGGAAUUCCUGGUGUAGCGGUGAAAUGCGCAGAUAUCAGGAAGAACACCCGUGGCUAAGGCGGCUCUCUAGUACGGUACUGACGCUGAGACGCGAAAGCGUGGGGAGCGAACAGG
RNAcentral lists this ribosomal RNA (253 nucleotides) under uncultured bacterium. RNAcentral's name for it is "partial 16S ribosomal RNA". It matches the Rfam family "Bacterial small subunit ribosomal RNA", at positions 524 to 776 of the family's 1533-position model. The record is from RNAcentral.